GAAAUGCGAUAAGUAAUGUGAAUUGCAGAAUUCAGUGAAUCAUCGAAUCUUUGAACGCACAUUGCGCCCGCCGGCACUCCGGCGGGCAUGCCUGUCCGAGCGUCAUU
Molecule: ribosomal RNA, 107 nt
Filed under: Sarocladium strictum
Lineage: Eukaryota; Fungi; Ascomycota; Sordariomycetes; Hypocreales; Sarocladiaceae
Description: partial 5.8S ribosomal RNA
Rfam family: 5.8S ribosomal RNA
About the family: 5.8S ribosomal RNA (5.8S rRNA) is a component of the large subunit of the eukaryotic ribosome. It is transcribed by RNA polymerase I as part of the 45S precursor that also contains 18S and 28S rRNA.
Source: RNAcentral